UAGUACGGCGAGUGAAGCGGGAAAAGCUCAAAUUUGAAAUCUGGCAGCCUCAGGUUGUCCGAGUUGUAAUCUAUAGAAACGUUUUCCGCGCCGGCCCAUGUACAAGUCCCUUGGAACAGGGCGUCAUAGAGGGUGAGAAUCCCGUCCUUGACACGGACCACCGGUGCUUUGUGAUACGUUUUCAACGAGUCGAGUUGUUUGGGAAUGCAGCUCAAAAUGGGUGGUAAAUUCCAUCUAAAGCUAAAUAUUGGCGAGAGACCGAUAGCGAACAAGUACCGUGAGGGAAAGAUGAAAAGCACUUUGGAAAGAGAGUUAAACAGUAUGUGAAAUUGUUGAAAGGGAAACGAUUGAAGUCAGUCGUGUCUAUUGGACUCAGCCGGUUCUGCCGGUGUACUUCCUUUAGAUGGGGUCAACAUCAGUUUUGAUCGCUGGAAAAGGGCGGGAGGAAUGUAGCACUCUCGGGUGAACUUAUAGCCUUCCGUCGUAUACAGUGGUUGGGACUGAGGAACGCAGCAUGCCUUUAUGGCCGGGGUUCGCCCACGUACAUGCUUAGGAUGUUGACAUAAUGGCUUUAAACGACCCGUCUUGAACCACGGACCA
Molecule: ribosomal RNA, 600 nt
Filed under: Solicoccozyma aeria
Lineage: Eukaryota; Fungi; Basidiomycota; Tremellomycetes; Filobasidiales; Piskurozymaceae
Description: eukaryotic LSU rRNA
Rfam family: Eukaryotic large subunit ribosomal RNA
Source: RNAcentral